GCAAUUUGAAGAAAGUUUGGAGCUUGAUGUUAGCAUGCUUUCCAUAGAUCCUCCAUCGGACAAGAAAGAUCUUAGUUUUCAGCCACUGAGUGACCCUGACGUGUGCACAGUUGGAUUGAAGAAGGAAAGCCGAAAAAAUGUGGACACAAUGAUCUCAAUC
Sinocyclocheilus grahami is the source of this 160-nucleotide long non-coding RNA. RefSeq lists it as uncharacterized. The record is from RefSeq and is a predicted model, not a curated record. The transcript is spliced from 3 exons. Lineage: Eukaryota; Metazoa; Chordata; Actinopteri; Cypriniformes; Cyprinidae.